UACGAGUAAAGAUGCUCGUUACGCGCAGCAGGACGGAAAGACCCCGUGACCUUUACUACAGCUUGGUAUUGGUGUUCGGAGUGGCUUGUGUAGGAUAGGUGGGAGACUGUGAAGCUUGGACGCUAGUUCAGGUGGAGUCAUUGUUGAAAUACCACUCUGGUCACUUUGGAUAUCUAACUACGAACCGUGAUCCGGUUCUGGGACAGUGCCUGGUGGGUAGUUUAACUGGGGCGGUUGCCUCCCAAAAAGUAACGGAGGCGCCCAAAGGUUCCCUCAACCUGGUUGGCAAUCAGGUGUCGAGUGUAAGUGCACAAGGGAGCUUGACUGUGAGACUGACAAGUCGAGCAGGGACGAAAGUCGGGACUAGUGAUCCGGCAGUGGCUUGNNNNNNNNNNNNNNNNNNNACGGAUAAAAGGUACCUCGGGGAUAACAGGCUGAUCUUGCCCAAGAGUCCAUAUCGACGGCAUGGUUUGGCACCUCGAUGUCGGCUCGUCGCAUCCUGGGGCUGGAGUAGGUCCCAAGGGUUGGGCUGUUCGCCCAUUAAAGCGGUACGCGAGCUGGGUUUAGAACGUCGUGAGACAGUUCGGUCCCUAUCCGCUGCGCGCGUAGGAAAUUUGAGAAGAUCUAUCCCUAGUACGAGAGGACCGGGAUGGACGAACCUCUGGUGUGUCAGUUGUCCUGCCAAGGGCACCGCUGAUUAGCUACGUUCGGAACGGAUAACCGCUGAAAGCAUCUAAGCGGGAAGCCGGCUUCGAGAUGAGAUUUCCAUACCCUUCGGGGUGAGAGGCUCCCAGCUAGACUACUGGGUUGAUAGGCCGGAUGUGGAAGUGGGGACUAACGACCCAUGGAGCUGAC
Molecule: ribosomal RNA, 855 nt
Filed under: Aureimonas sp. Leaf460
Lineage: Bacteria; Pseudomonadati; Pseudomonadota; Alphaproteobacteria; Hyphomicrobiales; Aurantimonadaceae
Description: partial 23S ribosomal RNA
Rfam family: Bacterial large subunit ribosomal RNA
Source: RNAcentral